GACGAACGCUGGCGGCGUGCUUAACACAUGCAAGUCGAGCGGUAAGGCCCUUUCGGGGGUACACGAGCGGCGAACGGGUGAGUAACACGUGGGUGACCUGCCCUCAGCUCUGGGAUAAGCCUGGGAAACUGGGUCUAAUACUGGAUAUGACUCCACGGUGCAUGUCGUGGGGUGGAAAGCCUUGUGCGGCUGAGGAUGGGCCCGCGGCCUAUCAGCUUGUUGGGGGGUGA
RNAcentral lists this ribosomal RNA (230 nucleotides) under uncultured bacterium. RNAcentral's name for it is "partial 16S ribosomal RNA". It matches the Rfam family "Bacterial small subunit ribosomal RNA", at positions 28 to 259 of the family's 1533-position model. The record is from RNAcentral.